AUUGAACGCUGGCGGCAUGCCUUACACAUGCAAGUCGAACGGCAGCACGGGAGCAAUCCUGGUGGCGAGUGGCGAACGGGUGAGUAAUAUAUCGGAACGUGCCCGGUCGUGGGGGAUAACGUAGCGAAAGCUACGCUAAUACCGCAUACGAUCUACGGAUGAAAGCGGGGGAUCGCAAGACCUCGCGCGAUUGGAGCGGCCGAUAUCAGAUUAGGUAGUUGGUGAGGUAAAGGCUCACCAAGCCGACGAUCUGUAGCUGGUCUGAGAGGACGACCAGCCACACUGGGACUGAGACACGGCCCAGGACUCCUACGGGAGGCAGCAGUGGGGAAUUUUGGACAAUGGGGGAAACCCUGAUCCAGCAAUGCCGCGUGAGUGAAGAAGGCCUUCGGUGUAAGCUACUUUU
Molecule: ribosomal RNA, 406 nt
Filed under: uncultured bacterium
Lineage: Bacteria
Description: bacterial SSU rRNA
Rfam family: Bacterial small subunit ribosomal RNA
Source: RNAcentral